This 254-nucleotide ribosomal RNA is filed under the name uncultured bacterium. RNAcentral's name for it is "partial 16S ribosomal RNA". It matches the Rfam family "Bacterial small subunit ribosomal RNA", at positions 524 to 776 of the family's 1533-position model. The record is from RNAcentral.
UACGUAGGGGGCGAGCGUUAUCCGGAGUUACUGGGCGUAAAGAGUUGCGUAGGUGGCGGGUAAAGCGAACAGUGAAAGGUCACGGCUCAACCGUGGAUACAUUGUUCGAACUCACCAGCUAGAGCAUGAGAGAGGUAGAUGGAAUUUCUAGUGUAGGAGUGAAAUCCGUAGAUAUUAGAAGGAACACCGAUGGCGUAGGCAGUCUACUGGCUCAUUGCUGACACUAAGGCACGAAAGCGUGGGGAGCGAACGGG